Molecule: non-coding RNA, 2224 nt
Organism: Vicugna pacos (alpaca)
Lineage: Eukaryota; Metazoa; Chordata; Mammalia; Artiodactyla; Camelidae
Source: RefSeq, a predicted model, not a curated record
UGGCUGGAGUUCAUACGUGUACUCCUCGGAUCUGCCAGGAAGGCGUAGUUCCAGGUGGAGAUACAGACCAUGAUGAAAAUCAAACAGGCUAACAUGAAAGACAGUGGGAAAUGGUUAGGGCUCUCACCCGGCUUUCCCAGUCACGUCUCGGCUGGAUGCCCUCAUCCUGCAGGUGAAACUUGGGGUCAGGGAACUGGAAGAGACUCCAUUUGAUAAUCUGAGAAAUUACUUCCUGGAGGAAAAAGACUUUCAGUUUGUUCCAGGGGAAGCUAAUGGAGCACUGUUACUUAUUUAACAUAAUUUUUAUAUGACAUAGAAUCAGAACUGUGUACGAUGAAUUUAGAAUAGAUGUUGUCUUGCUUAAGCUUUCUAGACCCGAUGUGACUGUACCGUGUGGUUAAUUUCAUUAAUUCUCUAUGACUCUUAGCAAGUAAUUACCAUUCCAUUCACAUCUGCCCCUGAAACCUGGCCAUGUGCAAGUCUCUCUUGAAGUAUUUAUCUUGCUAAUCAAAAGGCAACAGACUGAAAUGAUGGCUUAAAACAGGGUGUUAUUUUCUUCACAUCUUUUCAAAAGAUCAUGUCUUUGAGCUGCAAGGAUGUGAAUUUCUCGAGCACAUCGAAGUAGCCUGGAUGGGGCAUGAGAGGAAGGAAGAGCUGGAUCUGUUCAGGGCUUGACUGGUCACAAGCCUCCUGGCCCUCAUGACAAACAGAUUCUUCUCUGGGUGUCAGUGUGAGAUAGCUGCAUUUUAUGAAUUUAGCAGCUUUAUAGCGUGUAUUACAGAAAAGUGCACGCACACUUUCCAAAAAUGUGUAGGCUUUUAUCAAAAUUUGACCUGAGGUGCACAUGUGGAGGUGAAGGAGCAAGAUGGUCUGAUACCUGUGCUGGGACAGAACCACUAGGUCCAGCCCACGAGCUGUCACCCAGGUGGGCGGCUUCUCCAUCACUCUGAAGUCGGUUCCCCUAGUCCCGCCCCCACACAAAACUCGAGAUUCCUGUGGUCUUCAUCCUGUCGUGAGAACUGUGGGUUUUGUGGGGAGUCCUAGCCAGAAGCCCUCGGGGCUCCCAGUGUGAAGUGUUUGGGGAGCCCUCUCCAGGGGAGCCCUGGCUACAGCCUUUAGUGCCUGCACCUCACCUGGAGGAGACAAAGCACCUCUCUCCUCGUCUUUCCUCUGCUCUCAGUGCCUGAUUCCCCAGAUCCUGGAAACAGCUAAAGUUCAAUGGAAGGGCUGAAAUAAACACAUCUUGUGUAUUCCCAGCCAAGGUGAUGGACAGCAGCGGCCUCCCUGGAGAGACUGUGGCUCGUGUAACCCUCACCAGGGUCAAGCAAGCGAGGCCAGAAGAUCAAAUUUCCCACCUUCAGAGGCUUGUGGCACUUCAGAGCUUCGAAGUAGAAAGUUUAGCAGGAAGCAGAAGUCUAGAAUGGCCCAGGGCACAGAUUUUAUCACCGUAAACCCCAAAACAGAGACAGCAUUUCUCUAUGCCACCCCCACCCGAACAAGCACCAGUUUGCACCAUCAGAAGGUUCCUAAGCAAAGAAAGUAUGAGAAUGGGUAAAGCCCAGGUGUCCCUGCAGUCCCUUGCUGACCUGUGAUAGCCCCCCCACCCCGGUCCCAUAGGUCUGCCACUGUUUCUCCCUGUCCUGGAUCCUCGGGCCUGAACUUGGCCAGUUACAGCAGAGCAGAUGAGGGGCACUCACCUGGUGCCUUACCCCAAGAGCAGCUUCCUAAUCCAGAAAGAGACAGACCAAAAAGAAGGAAGAAAGAAAGAAAAAUAAGCAGUCUUUUGUCUCUGAGAGCCUCUAAUUACUUUUAUUUUUCGAUGCAAGGCGAAAUUACCCUGAAAGAUAAAAGCGUAAAAUGUCAGGAUCCACAGAAGAUAAACUCGAGUCCCAAGCACGGUACGUGCCCUGGUGCACUCCGCGCCCGACAGAAUUCAGCAGGGAGAAUCCGUGUCCCUUGGUAAUUAUGCGCAUCCAUUAGCAUGGCAUCCAUGCUUUGUCGGAAGCCUUUGGUGACAGUCUCUCUCCAGAGAAGCACACAGCCUUGUGAUCUGCAGUUCCGUGGCCACAGUGUACCACCCCGAGGGAGAUGCCGCCGAUAACACCAUAUUAAAUGCAGAGUUUGUUGGGGGUUUUGUUGUUGUUUUUCAUCUCAGAUGCUGGCGCCGAGGCGCAGAAUGUGUAUUACCAUCUUACAGACACUGCUAACAAAAGCUGCCCUCACA